This 1075-nucleotide ribosomal RNA is filed under the name compost metagenome. RNAcentral describes it as "bacterial LSU rRNA". It matches the Rfam family "Bacterial large subunit ribosomal RNA", at positions 1742 to 2813 of the family's 2925-position model. The record is from RNAcentral.
UGGUGACGAUCCUUGCGAUCCGAGCUGGCGAGGGUGGCACAGACCAGGGGGUAGCGACUGCUUACCAAAAGCACAGCAGCGUGCGAAGCCGCAAGGCGCUGUAUACGCUGUGACGCCUGCCCAAUGCUUGAAGGUCACGGGGAACGGUUAACCCUUCGGGGUGAAGCUGUGAACCUAAGCCCAAGUGAAUGGCGGCCGUAACUAUAACGGUCCUAAGGUAGCGAAAUUCCUUGUCGGGUAAGUUCCGACCUGCACGAAUGGCGUAACGACUUCCCCACUGUCUCAACCAUAGACCCGGCGAAAUUGAAGUACGAGUAAAGAUGCUCGUUAGCUGCGGAAGGACGGAAAGACCCCGUGAACCUUUACUAUAACUUGGUGUUGAGUCUUGAAUUGCGUUGUGUAGGAUAGGUGGGAGACUUGGAAGCAUUGGCGCCAGCCAGUGUGGAGUCAUCGUUGAAAUACCACCCUGCGUAAUUUGGGGCUCUAACCUGGGUCCGUGAUCCGGAUCAGGGACAGCGCCAGGCGGGUAGUUUGACUGGGGCGGUCGCCUCCUAAAACGUAACGGAGGCGCUCAAAGGUUCCCUCAGCCUGGUUGGCAAUCAGGCGUCGAGUGCAAUGGCACAAGGGAGCUUGACUGCGAGACCUACAAGUCGAGCAGGUGCGAAAGCAGGACAUAGUGAUCCGGCGGUUGCGUGUGGAAGCGCCGUCGCUCAACGGAUAAAAAGGUACCCCGGGGAUAACAGGCUCAUCUUCCCCAAGAGUCCAUAUCGACGGGAAGGUUUGGCACCUCGAUGUCGGCUCAUCGCAUCCUGGGGCGGUAGCACGUCCCAAGGGUUGGGCUGUUCGCCCAUUAAAGCGGUACGCGAGCUGGGUUUAGAACGUCGCGAGACAGUUCGGUCCCUAUCCGCCGCAGCCGUAAGGAGCUUGAGGGAAGCUGUCCCUAGUACGAGAGGACCGGGACGGACGCAGCUCUCGUGUGCCAGUUGUCCUGCCAAGGGCACUGCUGGUUAGCGACCUGCGGAAGGGAUAAGCGCUGAAGGCAUCUAAGUGCGAAGCCCGUCCAAGAUGAGGCUCC